CCAGCCCUUCUCUUUUCCGUCACAACCCCGCUAUCAUCCUCUGAACCCGCCGCCGACCACCCACCACAGUCGUCAACUACCCCUCGCCCCUUGACCCCUCUCCUUCUCUUUCUUUCUUUCUUCUUCCCCUUCUCUUCUUCAUCUGUUUCUGCUCCUCCGCGCCACCACAGCCGCCGCGCCCCUCCCUUUCUCUUCUUCCUCUCUCCCUGUCUCGGCCUCACCCCCCGAGUCCUAAAACCACCGCGAUCCCCCCCUUCAUGCCUGUAGCAGCGCCUCACCUCCGCCAACCUUCUUCUCCUCUAUCCGCGAGCCCAGGACCGCAGCGCCACCAGCAACCCUAAUCGCCGAUGCCCUGCUUUCGCCGCGCCUCUCCAGCUCCUGUUCAGUCGGCGAUCCCACCUCGUUCUUCCUCCUCUUCGCGCUACCUUCUCCUCCCUUCGCUCCCCAAAACCACCGAAACCUAGCCCUGUCUCAGCCCCUGUUUCUGCAUCCCUUUCCCUCUGCCACAACCUCCACAUACUACCUUUUCCUUCCCCUGUUGCUCUUCUCUGCUCAGAACAGCCAGCACAGGGACAUGUCCCCUGAUUCCAUUUCACUGCACCCCAGGGUAGCUAGCUGCACCAGCGCCACUGCCAGGCCGGCCAACUUCGCUGCUUCCCCACACACUUCCGAUGCUUGCUUUCCCUUUCUCCUGUUCUGUUCCUUCCUUACAGUUUUCUGCUUAUGAGCAUCUGAGGAGGAGGAGGCCUGGCGUGAUGAACCAGAGGAGGCCUGGCGUGAUGAACCAGAGGAGGCGCGGGAUGGUAGAGGUGACGAAGUGACAACUCCUUCCACUCCACAUGGUCAUGAGCACUGAGGAGGGUGCUACAUUUUAAGUGUGGGGAGGUUGUCCAACUUCAGCAGUGCAUUUUGGCGAUUUCAGAUUUUCAAGGCAAGUUUGGGUUGAAGAAGUGGAGAAAGAGCAUCCAAAGUUGAAGAAUUCAAGAAAUGAAGGAUUGGUAAAGCUAUCCAUCCUGACCUCUCGGUACUAAAUUGGUCAUAACUUGAGCUACAAAGGUCCAAAUGAGGCGGUUCCAGCGGCAUUGAAAAUCUAACGUCCGGGGCUUCGAAACGAUAUAUAAUUUGCUAUAGUGGUCUAAGUGGAAGUGUGCGUACGCACACAAUUUGUGCGCACGCACAGGUCCUUGCACGUGACCUCAUUAACUGGAAACCGCUGGAGGCGAUUUUUGGGCCCCAAAACCCAAUCCAACUUAUUUCUGAAGCUAUUUCAAGUCAAAUUGAAGAGGAAUGAAGGGGGGAGCACUUAGGUUUAGGUUUUAUCAUGUUGUAGGUCAUUUUCUAGAAAGAGAAGCUCCCCCUUCUCUCUAGAAUUAGGGUUUUUAUCUUUAUUCUCUUUUUAAUUUCUCUCUUUAAUUCUUGUUUAAUUGUAAUUUCAUUUACAUUUUCUUGUUCUAUUGCCUUUACUCUCUUUGUUUCCUUUGUUAAUUUCUCUUUUAUACUCAUUUUAGUUGUAUGAACACACUUGUCACUUUUAAUUUCCUUUAAUGAAAUUUUGAUGUUUAUGUUUC
This is a non-coding RNA of Arachis ipaensis, 1568 nucleotides long. NCBI's taxonomy places the organism in Eukaryota, Viridiplantae, Streptophyta, Magnoliopsida, Fabales, Fabaceae. The record is from RefSeq and is a predicted model, not a curated record.